GACGAACGCUGGCGGCGUGCUUAACACAUGCAAGUCGAACGAUGAAGCCGGAGCUUGCUCUGGUGAAUUAGUGCGAACGGGUGAGUAACACGUGAGUAACCUGCCCUUGACUCUGGGAUAACUGCGGGAAACUGUAGCUAAUACCGGAUACGACCCUCGGAGGCAUCUCCUGGGGGUGGAAAGAAUUUCGGUCAAGGAUGGACUCGCGGCCUAUCAGCUAGUUGGUGAGGUAAAGGCUCACCAAGGCGACGACGGGUAGCCGGCCUGAGAGGGUGACCGGCCACACUGGGACUGAGACACGGCCCAGACUCCUACGGGAGGCAGCAGUGGGGAAUAUUGCACAAUGGGCGCAAGCCUGAUGCAGCAACGCCGCGUGAGGGAUGACAGCCUUCGGGUUGUAAACCUCUUUUAGCAGGGAAGAAGCGAAAGUGACGGUACCUGCAGAAAAAGCACCGGCUAACUACGUGCCAGCCGCCGCAGUAA
RNAcentral lists this ribosomal RNA (483 nucleotides) under uncultured bacterium. RNAcentral's name for it is "partial 16S ribosomal RNA". It matches the Rfam family "Bacterial small subunit ribosomal RNA", at positions 28 to 523 of the family's 1533-position model. The record is from RNAcentral.